RNAcentral lists this ribosomal RNA (253 nucleotides) under uncultured bacterium. Its description in RNAcentral is "partial 16S ribosomal RNA". It matches the Rfam family "Bacterial small subunit ribosomal RNA", at positions 524 to 776 of the family's 1533-position model. The record is from RNAcentral.
UACAGAGGUCUCAAGCGUUGUUCGGAUUUAUUGGGCGUAAAGGGCGCGUAGGCGGUUGGACAAGUCUUGUGUGAAAUCUUCGGGCUCAACUCGAAGUCUGCACGAGAAACUAUCUGGCUUGAGUGUGGGAGAGGUGAGUGGAAUUCCUGGUGUAGCGGUGAAAUGCGUAGAUAUCAGGAGGAACACCUGUGGCGAAAGCGGCUCACUGGACCACAACUGACGCUGAGGCGCGAAAGCUAGGGGAGCAAACAGG